AGGACGAACGCUGGCGGCGUGCUUAACACAUGCAAGUCGAACGGUAAGGCCCCUUCGGGGGUACACGAGUGGCGAACGGGUGAGUAACACGUGGGUAAUCUGCCCUGCACUUCGGGAUAAGCCUGGGAAACUGGGUCUAAUACCGGAUAUGAGCUCCUGCCGCAUGGUGGGGGUUGGAAAGUUUUUCGGUGCAGGAUGAGUCCGCGGCCUAUCAGCUUGUUGGUGGGGUAAUGGCCUACCAAGGCGACGACGGGUAGCCGGCCUGAGAGGGUGAUCGGCCACACUGGGACUGAGACACGGCCCAGACUCCUACGGGAGGCAGCAGUGGGGAAUAUUGCACAAUGGGCGGAAGCCUGAUGCAGCGACGCCGCGUGGGGGAUGACGGUCUUCGGAUUGUAAACCCCUUUCAGUAGGGACGAAGCGAAAGUGACGGUACCUGCAGAAGAAGCACCGGCUAACUACGUGCCAGC
This 470-nucleotide ribosomal RNA is filed under the name Dietzia sp. l17. Its description in RNAcentral is "bacterial SSU rRNA". It matches the Rfam family "Bacterial small subunit ribosomal RNA", at positions 26 to 512 of the family's 1533-position model. Lineage: Bacteria; Bacillati; Actinomycetota; Actinomycetes; Mycobacteriales; Dietziaceae. The record is from RNAcentral.